Molecule: non-coding RNA, 294 nt
Organism: Poecilia reticulata (guppy)
Lineage: Eukaryota; Metazoa; Chordata; Actinopteri; Cyprinodontiformes; Poeciliidae
Source: RefSeq, a predicted model, not a curated record
AGGAUGGUGCACACAGAAGAAUGAGGUGGAAGACUGUGUGGGAGUGCAGCUGCGUGUGACUGUUCUGUGUUUCCCUCAGGACCCUGCUGGCUCAGAUAUUACUGCAGACUCUGCAGGUAGAAGUUAAAAAAAAAGGAGCAGCCCAUGCUGGGCUGUAUACGGUCCUAGCAUUUCCACUGUCAACUGGGCUUCAUUAGAUAAACAUAAAGUGUAUGUACAUAUCUGGCAUCAUCUGCGCCAACACAUCGGUCAAGAUGUGAACGAACAGUGUGGUUUCUGUAAUGUACACUGACC